ACAUACAACUGUACAUCUACAGUAAAAAACAGUUUUGGGCUCGGACUGCGUUUCGUCGCUUUGUGUAUCUCUCUCGACCUCUCUCACCACUUUGUAUAUCUUUUUCUUGAUGUCUAUCGAUCUCAUUCAGCCACUUCCAUCUUUCUUCCUCUCUCUCGAUCUCAAGCUCUCCUUCCUUCUCUUUCGUCACUCCUUUCAUCUCUUGGACGUACACCAGACUGAAAGAGAGAGGGGGACCAAAGACUGAAAGAGAGAGUUUGGCUAAGCAUCCUGGGUUUUUGAUGAAUUCAGAUCAGAGAAAGACGGAGAGAGGGAGGGCAGAGGUGGUGCUUUCGGUCGAGUACCCAACAAAGCUCUGAAGGGAGAUUUUAUCAACACCAAGAAAGGUUUUUCCUUUGGUCAUCCAAGGCCUAGAGAACAGAUUAAGGAGCUUGGAGAUCAGGUUGAGGGCGGAAUGAGGCUAGAUAAGAGUUUUGGGUUCUUAAAGAAUUGCAGUGAAAUGUAUGAGCUUUGGGAGGAGGUUGGGAGAGGAAGUUUUUCCUUAACUUGCAUAGCUGCUUUUAAGAAGGGAGAGCUUAAGGGCCGCCAUGCUUCUGUCAGAUCAUCCCAAGAACCAAGAUCUAUCUAUUGCUCUUUCUAGGAAACAAGAAGUGCUACUCACUCUUGGAUCUUGAGGAAGAUGAAUACAAGACAAGGUUUUGAUAGAGAGCAGAUAAAAAGCAGUUGAAAGCAACAUAUUUAAGGAUGUGGAGUCAAAACCAACAAGUAUCGUGAACAAUGAACCAGCUAAAGAGGCAGAGUCUGAACUGCAAGUUUCUCUGCAGAGUUUUAAAACUUAUGUAAUAUGAACUAUUUUACUACAUGUUUGAGAUUUGAAAUCUGGCUUAAGUACUUAAUAGAUUUUUGUAACAAUGGUGAUGUACCCGCAGCAACGCGCGGGCAAUCUUACUAGUUAAGGAUGAUUCUAUGAUCCAGCCUUAUUUAUUUAUUCGUAACAACAGAAUAUUAAAAUCAAGAAUUAAAUUCAGUUUACCCUCA
Molecule: RNA transcript, 1038 nt
Organism: Fragaria vesca subsp. vesca
Lineage: Eukaryota; Viridiplantae; Streptophyta; Magnoliopsida; Rosales; Rosaceae
Exons: 5
Source: RefSeq, a predicted model, not a curated record